Molecule: long non-coding RNA, 1712 nt
Filed under: Cicer arietinum (chickpea)
Lineage: Eukaryota; Viridiplantae; Streptophyta; Magnoliopsida; Fabales; Fabaceae
Description: long non-coding RNA (CARI_LNC000818)
Source: RNAcentral
UUCAAAGAAAAAAAAAAAACAAAUAUGGAAUACAUAAUAUAUCCAUGAUUCAAAAUAAUUCCCUAUAAAUUUUAAGCAAACUAUAGUGUAAACUGAUAUGUUUCAUUUCUCCAACUUGUGAUCUAAGCAUUUUUACCUAUAAAACAUUUGAAUAACGUUGAAUGAAAUUACAUCUCAGUGGAUUCAAAGGAAUGAAACUAAAUCAAUUAACAUUCUAAUUCAUAGCUAUCUUUAUCUUAUGAGUUUCUCUUCUAUGUAUAGUUUUGACUUUAAAUAUUCAAGCCAUCAGACGUGAGUAAUCUAAUGAUUUAAACUCUAUCUAACAUACAUUAGUUUUACUAAUGCCCUCUUCUUGUUAAUAGCUUUAUUUUGGUAAGAUUUGACAUAAUUACGUUCGUAAGUGGUGCCUUACUUACCCUCGCUUCCGUCGUAUAUAGAAGGAGAAUUCAUCUAGCUAAGAUGAAUCCUAUACUUCUCACCUUAAUCAAAUAUAUAGUAAUUAUAUAUAACAAUCCACACAAACAUAUAUAACAUCAUCUAUUAAAAAAUAUAUUAAAGACUACCAUGCACUAAACCUUGAAAAUUAUUAUGAUAACAUAAACUAUUAAGGCAAUUAUAUCAUACUAAUCACAUAAUGUAAAAUAAAAUUCAAGAGAACAUGUUUAAGAUGUAUUUUUUCAAAAACAGCCCCAAAUUUAUGUUAUAACAACUUAAAAUUGGGUUUAACUACAUAGUCAACUGACAGAAACUUAUAAAUAUCAUAAUUGAGUGAAUGAGUACUCUUUGGAAAGCUUAUGAUGUCUACUUUAUAGAUAAAAUUUUAUUUUAUUUUUAUUAAGCCCCUAAUUCUUGUAGUUUAUCAAAACAAAACACAAUGACAGAAAACAAACAGAACAUCAACUCUAGUCUAACUUGUAACCCAUUUUUCAGCAUCAAUACUCAAUCAAAAAUCAUGAAUUUUGUACUCAAUUUGAAGGUAAUUGAGUAUAGUUUCCAAAAAACUAAAAAUCAUUCAAAACGAAGGUCUAUAGAAAAAAUUAUGACCAAAAUAUCACACAUAUGUCCUGCAAAAUUCAAGUUAAUAACAUUCCUUCAAUCACACUAAUUUCCUAACAAUUCUUUGCAACAAUAAUGCUACAAAUUAUGAGUAAAUCAGUAAUGAACACAUCAAAACAACAUCACAAUUUUCAAUUUACUCAAUUUAAUUGGUCACAAAGGUGAAACUCAAGAUCUUUAAUUUCAAACUCAUCAAAAGAGGAUAAUUUAAUGUCAUAAAUGAAACUCAAUACUAUAAUAAUCUACUCUCAAUUUCAGUUAUAGAACUUCACAUGCAUAAAUAAUUUUAACCAUCAUUUCAAAAUCCCUAAAUCUAACCAAGAAUAAAAUUUUAAAAAAAAUCAUUUUCUUCUUUUCAAACCUUUAAACCCCAAAUCCUUAUUCUAUGGAACAUAUUAAUUCAUACAUGCAUGAACGAGAAAAAUAGAAAAAGAAAAUUCACCUCUUGACUUCCAAAAUAAUGAAGAAGAUAAUGGUACUCUCAAAUCUUUGUACCUUGACUUCUUGUAAGAAUUGCACUUUUCCUUUCUCUUUUUUUGUCUUGUCAAAGUUUUUGUUGUUUUUUUUCUUCCUUUCUCCUUCUCUCGUUUCUUCUUCUCUAUCUUACCAUUUUUUUCUCUCUCUCUCUCUCUCUUUCUCUUUCUGCUUCUAGUUUC